Molecule: ribosomal RNA, 3190 nt
Filed under: Ambystoma mexicanum (axolotl)
Lineage: Eukaryota; Metazoa; Chordata; Amphibia; Caudata; Ambystomatidae
Description: eukaryotic LSU rRNA
Rfam family: Eukaryotic large subunit ribosomal RNA
Source: RNAcentral
GCUGCAGAGGUAUGGGGCUGGGCAACCUGCUUAAUUUAAGCAUAUUACUAAGCAGAGAAAAAUAAGCUAACCAGGAUUCUCUCAGUAACGGCGAGUGAAGAGAGAGGAGUCCAGCGGCAGGCAUGGGAAAUGUGGAGUACACAAGACCGACUCCAGUGUCGCUAAGGGGGCUCAAGUCCGUCUGAUCGAGGCUCACCCCGCAGACUGUGUUAGGCCGGUAGCGGCCUCCGGCGUGCCGUGAUCGGGUCUUUUUGGAGUCGGGUUGCUUGGGAAUCUAGGGCUAAAUACGGGCACGAGACUGAUGGCUGUACUGUAAGAGAAGUUGAAAUGAACUUUGAAGAGAGUUCAAGAGGGCGUGAAACUGUCGAGAGGUAAACGGUGGGGUCUGUGCAUUCCUCCGCAGGAUUCGACAUGGCAAGCAGGUUGGUUGCCCGGAACGGCGGAUGCCCUUGCGGGACUGCUGCCUGGGCGCACCCGGCCCCAGCAGGGCACAUUUCUUCUGUGGUGGUGCACUGCGACCAGCUGUGGGUCGGCUGUGAAGGCCCCUGGGGGUAGGUGGCUCUCUGCUUCGGCAGAGAGUGUUACAGCCCCUGGCAGCAGUUUUACUGUGUCCGCAGGGGUGAGGGAGAUUGACUGCCGCCGUGCCCUUCUCUGGCAACCGUCCCAGCCGCUCUUGGGGUGGGGGGUGGUGGCGACAGGAGACAGGGCUCCCAAUGGGACUUGUCGACUGUGGUGGACUGCCCUCAGUGUGCACCGACCAUGAUGCGCUGCUGGGCAGGGAGGCCCACAAAGGGCGCGGGGUCUGCAGUGAUGUCGGUUACCCACCCGACCCGUCUUGAAACAUGGACCAAGGAGUUUUAACACUUGCACGAAUCUGGCGGGGCUGAACGAAACCCUGUGGUGCAAUGAAGGGGAGUACUGGCUGGGAUGGGAUCCAUCGCGGUAGGCGCACCACUGGCCCAUCUCGCCUGCUUUGUCAGGGAGAUGGAGCAUGAGCGUGUGUGAUAGGAACCGAAAGAUGGUGAACUAGGCCUGGGCAGGACAAAGCCAGAGGAAACUUUGGUGGAGGGCAGUAGCGGUCCUGACGUGCAAAAACGGUUGUCUGACCUGGCUAUAGGGGCGAAAGACUAAUCAAACAUCUAGUAGCUGGUUUCCUCCACAAGUUUCCCUCAGUAUAGCUGGCGCACAGAAACCCCAGUUUUAUCUGGUAAAGUGAAUGAUUAGAGGUCAUGGGGCCGAUAUGAUCUUAACCUAGUCUGAAACUUUAAAUUAGGUAAGAAGCCUGGCUCGCUGGCGUGGAAGUCGGGCAUCAAAUGCACUUUUGGUAAGCAGAACUGAUGAUGUGGGAUCAACUGAACACUGGGUUAAGAUGCUCGGUUAAGGUGCCCGAUGCCAAUGCUCAUCAGACCCCAGAAAAUGUAUUGGUUGAUAUAGACAGCAGGACAGUGGCCAUGGAAGUCGGAAUCCGCUAAGGAGUGUGUAACAACACACCUGCCGAAUCAACUAGCCCUGAAAAUGUACGGGGCUGAGAGCUUCUGGGGCUAAACCGCGACGAGUAGGAGGGCCGCUGCGGUGUACAUGGAAGCCUGGGUCGAAGGCCCGGGUGGAGCAUCUUCAGGUGCAGAUCUUGGUGGUAGUAGCAAACAAUAUGGUCGAGCGCCGGUCGAAAAGGAGUCUGGUUCAGAUCCCGAACCCGGAGUGGUGGAGACGGCUGCCCUUGCGGCAUCCAGUUCGGUAAUGCAAGCGAUCCUAGAGAAGCAGGCGAGCUCCCGGGGAGAGUUCUGUUUUCUUUUUUAAGUGCAGGACGCCCUGGAAUGGGUUCUCCCCAAGAGAGGGCCCAAGCCUUGGAAAGCGUUGUGUUUCCAGCAAGCGCUGGCUGGUCCUUAAAAAUGUGAGGAGAUGGUGUAAAUCACACGCCGGGCCAUACCAAUAUCCGCAGUUCUCCAUGGUGAACAGCCUUUGUUAUGUUGUAAUAAUGUAGAUAAGGGAAGUCAGCAAGUCGGAUCUGUAACUUCAGGAAGGGCUGGGUCGGCCCCCUGCUAGGGUUCGAGGCCAGCAUUCUGCCUCGGCCGACGCCUAGCAGCUGAUUUAGAACUUGUGCAGACCAGUGGAAUUUGACUGUUAAAUUAAAACAAAGCAUUGCGUAAGGCCCACAAUGUAUGUUGAUGCAAUGCCCAGUGCUCUGAAAAGUCAAAGUGAAGAAAUACGCUGGUAAACGGCGGGAGUAACUAUGACUCUUAAGGUAGCCAAAAUGCCUCGUCAUCUAAUUAGUGACGCACAUCAAUGGAUGAACGAGAUUCCCACUGUCCCUACCUACUAUCUAGCAAACCACAGCCAAGGGAACAGGGUUGGCAUAAAACCCCGCUGGGAUUCACUCUAGUAUGCCACUGUGAAGCGACACGAGGUGUAGGAUAAGUGGGAGGCCCUCAGGCCGCCGGUGAAAUACCACUACUCAUUGUUUUUUCACUUGCCCAUUGAGGCGGGGGUGAGCUCCGUGGGGCUCCCGCUUCUGGCUCCAAGCGCCCGCCGGGCGUGACCUGCUCCGGGGACAGUGGCAGGUGGGGAGUUUGACUGAGGCAGUAUACCUGGCAACGAUAACGCAGGUGUCCUAAGGUGAGCUCAGGGAGGACAGACAUCUCCAGCGGAGCAGAACGGCAAAAGCUUGCUUGAUCUCGAUUUUCAGUAUGAAUACAGACCAUGAAAGUGGGGCCUCUAGAUCCUUCUGACUUUUUGGGUUUCAGGCAGGAGGUGUCAGAAAAGUUACCACAGGGAUAACUGGCUUGUGGCGGCCAAGCGUUAAUGGCGACGUCGCUUUUUGAUCCUUCGAUGUAGGCUCUUCCUAUCAUUGUGAAGCAGAAUUCACCAAGCGUUGGAUUGUUCACCCACUAAUAGGGAACAUGAGCUGAGUUUAGACCGUUGUGAGACGGGUUAGCUUUACCCUACAGAUGAUGUGUUGUUGCAAUAGUAAUCCUGCUCAGUACGAGAAGAACCACAGGUUCAGACAAUGUGCUUGACUGACGAGCCAAUUGGACGAAUCUACCAUCCCGCCGCCUAAACUGUAACGAUACUGCAGCGCUGUGGAGCCUCGGUUGGCCUAGGAUAGCCGGCCUCUGGGCCGGUGAAAAGAGCUGCUCGUCUCAGGACUAGUGUGGCCAGAAGGGGACCACCUCUCUCGCCCGUAGUGCACUGC